RNAcentral lists this long non-coding RNA (513 nucleotides) under Cyclopterus lumpus (lumpfish). Its description in RNAcentral is "lncRNA (ENSCLMG00005004203.1)". Lineage: Eukaryota; Metazoa; Chordata; Actinopteri; Perciformes; Cyclopteridae. The record is from RNAcentral.
UGUAGCUUUUAUUUAUUUCUUUCUGCUUUUUAGUACACCUCCUGUUGUUGGAUGACAUUGUGACGCAUUGCCUUCGAGAAACCUCAGUCUCAGACACAACCUGUUGGUUAGUGAGGAGCACACAAAACCAGUACUGGACCAGGUAUUGUCCUGGGCUUGAUCAUCAAGUUCUCUGUCACUCCGUCCGAACAAGGCAAAUUCUACAUCAGUUUACCAGGAGAGUUUAUAUUGCAUACUUUGCAUGUGGUUACCACUCCUUUCCUCAUCACAAGUGUGACGACAGGUGUUGCUCGUCUAUUUGGAACUUCAGGAAAAAUCACUGCACUGGCGUCAGCAUAUUUUGCCUCAACGACUCUUCUGUCUGUGACUUUGGGGUUGAUCCUGGCUCUGUCCAUCGAGCCAGUGGAUGCCAUGAGAAAAGAAGAUACAGAAGAUACAGAAGAUAAGAAGAUCUCUAUUGUCGACGUCUUGGUGGAUCUAGUCUGAAUGCAACACAUGUGCAAAUUGUGAGAC